Python bivittatus (Burmese python) is the source of this 1838-nucleotide non-coding RNA. Lineage: Eukaryota; Metazoa; Chordata; Lepidosauria; Squamata; Pythonidae. The record is from RefSeq and is a predicted model, not a curated record.
CGCGCAGAACCGGAAGCCAGGUCACUCCUGCACGGCCCCGCCCGCUCUCCCGUUGGGGAUCCCCAUUUUGUUUCCGGGGGUUUCAGGAGUGUUAGUGGGGGAGGCGGUGCCGACGCCGCCCGACUCCGGGCCCUGCAGGGGCCGGGCAUGUGGGCGGGCAUCCCUCAGGCCUCCGCCCCUGGCGAGGAGGCUCCCUGGAAAUCACCAACGGAGCCCGAAGAGGCCGGCCGGGAGCGGCAGCAGGUAGAGGCGUCUUUGGGGAGGUCGAGCUGGCGGCUGUGACGUUUCUGUGACGCGCCCCGAAUCAUUCUUUUCCGUGUGUGCCGACAGGACGCCAUGGGUCUGAGAGGUGAGGCUGUAUGGAAAUCCCAACACUGAGAUUGAAGAUUUAAUGGAUACUCCUCUGUAAAUAGUCUAUUAAGUCUUAUUGGACAGUCACAAGCUGUGGCAGCUUUCAUAUUUCUAUUCCCCUUUGGAAGCAACAACUUCCCACUAUUGCCUUGAUUGACUGGGAACUCUGAGCACCGCAGAAAAUCCCAAGCUCUUCUACAGCAGCAUUCCCCAACCGGGAGCCCUCAAGGUAUGUAUAACUAGGAACAUGAAAGUAGGGCCAUGCUAGCUGAGAAUGAUGGGGCUGUAGCCCAACACUUCUAGAUGGUGCCAAGAUGUGGACGACUGGCCUAGAAUAUGCUUUCAGCUUAUGUGGGAUACAGGCCAAGCCUGCUGAGUUUUCUUUUUGCCUGGUGUUGCCACCUGUCUUCUGUACCUAGGUAGCACUGGGAAGGCUGGUGGGGGGCAGAUGAACUGGUGAGAUAUGCCUUGCUGCAGCUGCUGAGGAAAGAAAGGGGGCAGUGUACACCAGUUUUGCACUGUUUGCCACAUCCAAAUUUUGUUUGGUCCAGAUUUUCUCUCUUGGUUUGGUUCAGGCUCACAGGGGCGUAACAGGAUAUUUUGCUACUUAAUAAAUGGAACUGUUAGUGAGUUUGCUUUGGUGCCCUGUGGCACAGUUUGGGAACUGCUAGUUAAUAAACUUUGGUUUAUUUUGUAAAUGAAAAAGGAAGUGGAACUAGCCAUCCAGGUACAAAGCAGUGUUUAUUUAGCCAUUAGAUACGUGAGAAAAAUAAGUUUUCAGGUGAAUGGGAUUGUUUAAAUCAAACUGAAACAUAAGAAAUUUGCAAUAGCCUUGGAGCUGGCUUAUCACCUAGUUCACACCAGCCUGUUGUAAAUCUUAUAACAUAUCCAUGACAACCCAGGAAUCUGUCCUCAAGAUGCCAAUAAAGGAUGUCUUCUUUGACAUUUGGUACCCUAAAUUGCCCCCUCCUUUUGACCUGUUUCUACUCACUAAGACAAUUGUUUUCUUUAAAGAUAGUAGAUAGCAGAAGGGCAAGAAGUAAUCAAGAUCUAUUGCUUAUGAAUAUGUAUGUAUGCAUCAUUUCCCUCUUUUCUGAAAUGUAUAAAUAUCAGUCCAUCACUUUUGUUUGGAGGAGUGUCUCUCAUCAUCCUUUUGGUGGGGUUCCCUCCAGUAGGUACUGUUUAUAUAAUAAAUACCGCAGUGAGCCUUGAUUAUUUGCUUUGGGUCCUGCGUUUUGAUUCCACAAAUACAAUUAGUAAGUCCUUUUAAGGCCAUAGUUUUGAGCACUGCUGUGUGGUGGUAGAAUUUUGCAGAUCCCACCUAGAAAAUUGUUCAGCAACUGUUCAAAGUUACAAUGAUGCUGAAUAAGAGUGACUUAGGAUUGGUCCUUGGAGUUCCAGCCUUCCAAGUGUCCCUAUAGUCACAUGAUUGCCAUAGUUACACCUAUAGUUACACUUCAAAACAAUUUGCUCCAAAUGUAGCAGUA